This 497-nucleotide ribosomal RNA is filed under the name uncultured bacterium. Its description in RNAcentral is "partial 16S ribosomal RNA". It matches the Rfam family "Bacterial small subunit ribosomal RNA", at positions 28 to 507 of the family's 1533-position model. The record is from RNAcentral.
GAUGAACGCUGGCGGCGUGCCUAAUACAUGCAAGUCGAGCGAACGGACGAGAAGCUUGCUUCUCUGAUGUUAGCGGCGGACGGGUGAGUAACACGUGGAUAACCUACCUAUAAGACUGGGAUAACUUCGGGAAACCGGAGCUAAUACCGGAUGAUAUUUUGAACCGCAUGGUUCAAAAGUGAAAGACGGUCUUGCUGUCACUUAUAGCUGGAUCCCCGCUGCAUUAGCUAGUUGGUAAGGUAACGGCUUACCAAGGCAACGUUGCAUAGCCGACCUGCGAGUGUGAUCGGCCACUCUCAGCCUGCGACACGCUCCAGAAUCCUACGGGAGGCAGCAGUAGGCAAUCUGCCGCCAUGAGCGAAUGCCUGACGGACCAACGCCGCGAGAGUCAUGAAGCUCUUAGGCUCGUAAAACUCUGUUAUUAGGCAAGAACAUAUGUGUAAGUAACAGUGAACAUCUUGACGGUACCUAAUCAGAAAGCCACAGCUAACUACGUG